GACGAACGCUGGCGGCGUGCUUAACACAUGCAAGUCGAACGGUGAAGGGACCAGCUUGCUGGUUCUGGAUGAGUGGCGAACGGGUGAGUAACACGUGAGUAACCUGCCCCCUUCUUCUGGAUAACCGCAUGAAAGUGUGGCUAAUACGGGAUAUUCUGGGUCUGUCGCAUGGCGGGCCCGGGAAAGAUAUUGCUUCGGUGGGGGAUGGGCUCGCGGCCUAUCAGCUUGUUGGUGGGGUGAUGGCCUACCAAGGCGGUGACGGGUAGCCGGCCGGAGAGGGUGGACGGUCACACUGGGACUGAGACACGGCCCAGACUCCUACGGGAGGCAGCAGUGGGGAAUAUUGCACAAUGGGCGCAAGCCUGAUGCAGCGACGCCGCGUGAGGGAUGGAGGCCUUCGGGUUGUAAACCUCUUUCGCCAGUGAAGCAGGCCUGCUCCUUGUGGGUGGGUUGACGGUAGCUGGAUAAGAAGCGCCGGCUAACUACGUG
Molecule: ribosomal RNA, 489 nt
Filed under: uncultured bacterium
Lineage: Bacteria
Description: partial 16S ribosomal RNA
Rfam family: Bacterial small subunit ribosomal RNA
Source: RNAcentral